This 497-nucleotide ribosomal RNA is filed under the name uncultured bacterium. RNAcentral's name for it is "partial 16S ribosomal RNA". It matches the Rfam family "Bacterial small subunit ribosomal RNA", at positions 28 to 507 of the family's 1533-position model. The record is from RNAcentral.
GACGAACGCUGGCGGCGUGCCUAAUACAUGCAAGUUGAGCGCUGAAGGUUGGUACUUGUACCAACUGGAUGAGCAGCGAACGGGUGAGUAAAGCGUGGGGAAUCUGCCUUUGAGCGGGGGACAACAUUUGGAAACGAAUGCUAAUACCGCAUAAAAACUUUAAACACAAGCUUUAAGUUUGAAAGAUGCAAUUGCAUCACUCAAAGAUGAUCCCGCGUUGUAUUAGCUAGUUGGUGAGGUAAAGGCUCACCAAGGCGAUGAUACAUAGCCGACCUGAGAGGGUGAUCGGCCACAUUGGGACUGAGACCCGGCCCAAACUCCUACGGGAGGCAGCAGUAGGGAAUCUUCGGCAAUGGACGAAAGUCUGACCGAGCAACGCCGCGGGAGUGAAGAAGGUUUUCGGAUCGUAAAACUCGGUUGGUAGAGAAGAACGUUGGUGAGAGUGGAAAGCUCAUCAAGUGACGGUAACUACCCAGAAAGGGACGGCUAACUACGUG